UACGGGGGGGGCAAGCGUUGUUCGGAAUUACUGGGCGUAAAGGGCUCGUAGGUGGCCAACUAAGUCAGACGUGAAAUCCCUCGGCUUAACCGGGGAACUGCGUCUGAUACUGGAUGGCUUGAGUUUGGGAGAGGGACGCGGAAUUCCAGGUGUAGCGGUGAAAUGCGUAGAUAUCUGGAGGAACACCGGUGGCGAAGGCGGCAUCCUGGACCGGCACUGACGCUGAUGAGCGAAAGCCAGGGGAGCAAACGGG
Molecule: ribosomal RNA, 253 nt
Filed under: uncultured bacterium
Lineage: Bacteria
Description: partial 16S ribosomal RNA
Rfam family: Bacterial small subunit ribosomal RNA
Source: RNAcentral